CUGCGGUGCUUCGGCUACUCACAGUGAGAUUAUUGUAGUUUGACUGCACACAUACAUGGUCUCUAGCCAUAUGGGUCCAUGCAGUGUAGAUUGGCUGCAAUAGGUUCACUGUAGGAGUAGGGUAUGCACCUACAAGGAAUCUAUCGACCUUGAUAGAAGAGGAGUGAUCCUAUGUGAUUUAUUAGACUGAGUUCUAAGACCUUGGCCAGGGCAGUAAUAUAAGGUGGAGAAAGAGUUUUCCACUAUUGAACUCGAGUCGAAUAAAUCUUGACAUAUGACAGACGAUGGGGUUUGACGAGUUGUCCAUGACCUCCGUCCUGUAGGGAUCCACGAUAGUAGGACUGUAUCACACGAUAACUGCACCUAGAGGUUCAUCAUUCCAUUCUACUGGGUAGCCACUACAUGCUGCUAGGUGUCACUGGUGGAUGGUGGGACUCAUAGGGAUUGUCUCGAUGAUCGAUAAACCCUAAUGAGUUGAGUUGGAAUCGUUCCAACCCAUUGAAAGGAGUUUUCAAUG
Molecule: long non-coding RNA, 517 nt
Filed under: Phoenix dactylifera (date palm)
Lineage: Eukaryota; Viridiplantae; Streptophyta; Magnoliopsida; Arecales; Arecaceae
Description: long non-coding RNA (PDAC_LNC017421)
Source: RNAcentral